UGAUGCACAGAGGGCCACACAGUGCCCACCCUCCCCUCACCAAAACCCUUCCUGAGAUCCAGAGCGCAUCUCUAUGCCUCCCUCUAGAGCUCUGCCAGCACUGAGGUCUAGUGUCCCCACAAGGACUCUCCCUGGGUCCCACCAACACCCACCUGUCACCAAGACUCGCGACUUUGCCUUCUCCUUCAAUCUCAUGGCUCCCUCCUUUCUGCUCUCAGCCAGACCCAGUCUUGGGUCCAAGGGCGAUGUCCUCUGCUCUUCCUUGGCCCGAGGCAGGAGCCAGCUCACUCUUUCCAAAACAGAGGUUUGGGCCUUCCCCACAGCAAAGCCUCCCCGCCCAGGAAGUGAGGCCCACACCAGUCUCAGGCUCUUCUUGGUUCGUCUUCGCUGAGGUGUUGCAUUCCCAGCGGCCACAGGUCCUGUGGGGCCUCUCUGGCUGCACUGCCCUGUUCCAUCUGCACCCUGGGAAAUCUCCCCUUUACCAUCACCCUCAUUUCAUUUGGUCUCACAUCCCCGUUGGUUGUUAAUGUGCCACUUUUCUAUAACAGCCCGAAUCUUAACCAUCACUAGACUCACCGUACCUCUGAGUAUAUGUGUUUAGCACAUAGUGAGAACUAAGUCAAGGUCUGUUGAUGAAAUCAGUUUUAUAAUCCUAGCUUUUUCCUUCUAAAUCCUAAUUCCUGGAGAUCAGUGUUUUUGUUUCAUGACAUUUAUGAGCAGCAACCCCUUGCCAAGGUGACCUGACAUUCACACCACCUCCUAGUUUUUCUGGAGCAGAACCACUGCCUAAACAAUAGUGGUUAACAGGAAGACAACAUUGUGAUUUUUCUUCAGUUAAAACCAGUUUCAUUUAAGACACAGAUCAAGGAAAGAACUGGAUGUAAGGGGGUAAUAAGAAUACAAGAAGAGUUUAUAAAACCCAGAGGAAAUAUCAAAUGAGUCAAAUUUAGUAAUCUUUUUGUUUAAACCCCUUGUGACCAUAUCUUUUGGAAGCUGGGUUGUUGUGUGCAUCAGGGCGGCUGGCAGGUGUGGGCUCAGCCCCGGGUCCACACUGGUGUUCUGGGACGUGCCUGUGGACGCCCCUGAGCCAGGCCUGAGGAGGGGCAGGGACACGGAGGCUUCCUUCAGAAGCGGGGCUCACCAGGCUUUGUGAGGGGCUUUUAGCAACCUGGUGGUGGAGCCUAUCUUCCCCUGAGGGGCAGAGCCAGGCAGCCCUGGACAGAUACACCGCCUGCUAACCACUGCCACCACUGGGUGACCCCAAGCCUGGACAGCUUGGCUGUUUUCGGCCCAGCUACCUCUCUUCUUUUCCUAAAAUAAUACGAAAGGAGGGCUUUGGGCAGUUUUUCCCUUAAGAAGUUAAAAAUCACCAAAUUGUAAGUAUUUGCAUUCUAAUUGUCACAACCCAAUUCCUAGCUGAUCAGCUGAUGGUUCUGGCUGCCCCAGACCCCACUCUACAUGCAUCCUGCGGUAUAUGCUGACGGUUCUGCACCCACCUCAGCCUGGGGAUGGCGUGGAGGCCAUGCGGGGAGGAAGAGGAUGGCGCCAGGCCCAGCUCAGAGCAGUCCACUGGAGGGAUGAGGGUUUGUGCUAUAAGUAGCUAGCUCCUUUGCUCUUUCCAUUCUUCAAAUAGUGUCUCUCCAACCCCCCCAAAAAGAUCAGAUGUUAUCAUACAUUUCCUAGCUAAGGACCACCAGGUUGUUAUAUGGGACAAAUAGUGCCACCCUCGCUAUUACCAAAGUACAUGACCUUCACGGAGAAGUUACUAACCCUCCUGACAAAGGCAGGACGUUCUGUUGCUGCGCAGGAAAGUUGCCCCAGUUUUCAGGGACAAGGUGUCGAGCUGUGAUAUGAUGCACUAUUUUGAGUAAAUUACCCUGUAGGAAAUGCCUCCUUGAUUUUUCCACAGUGCAAGUGUGCCCUAGAUUUACCAGAAAUUCAAAUAUUAUAUUAAUAGGGAGAUUUUUAGGUUCUCAAGUAAUUUCCUUUCUUUUCAAUAAAGGAAUGUCUUGAGUGAAAUUUAAUGUAUAUGCUUUUGUAAGAUGGCACAAAUCAGAAGAAAAUGCUCCACUGGGAUCUGAGUUCUGGUUCAGGAAAACAAGGUCGUGGUGUGGACGACAUGGUGGGAACUGAGUCAGCUUCUCUGUCGGAUGAGCCAGAACAAUGACAAAGGCAGGGGUGAGUCUGGACUCUCCGGCAGACGGGCUUCUGGUCUCCUGGAGACGCACUCUCUCACCGCAAAGCCCGUGGGGCCAGCCUGUCUUUCUGAACAGUGCUCUCCUGAAACCGUUUAUCAAAAAUAUUGUUAUAGUACAAAGACUAUAAAAAGGAAAACAAACAAACAAAAGCCCUUGGUAAAAGGUAAAAAGGAAAAGCUGCUAAAACCUCAAAAAUCUGCACUGUUUCAGCCUCAAGUGAUCAUGAACAAAUGCUGCUGGUCACUCCAAGCUGACAUU
This 2456-nucleotide long non-coding RNA is filed under the name Equus asinus (donkey). Its description in RNAcentral is "lncRNA (ENSEASG00005026595.1)". The record is from RNAcentral. Lineage: Eukaryota; Metazoa; Chordata; Mammalia; Perissodactyla; Equidae.